GAAGCAACACCCGAAGCCGGUGGAGUAACCAUUUGGAGCUAGCCGUCGAAGGUGGGACAAAUGAUUGGGGUGAAGUCGUAACAAGGUAGCCGUAUCGGAAGGUGCGGCUGGAUCACCUCCUUU
Molecule: ribosomal RNA, 123 nt
Filed under: Staphylococcus epidermidis
Lineage: Bacteria; Bacillati; Bacillota; Bacilli; Caryophanales; Staphylococcaceae
Description: partial 16S ribosomal RNA
Rfam family: Bacterial small subunit ribosomal RNA
Source: RNAcentral